CUACGGGGUGCUCCAGUAAGGAAUAUUGCGCAAUGGAGGCAACUCUGACGCAGCCAUGCCGCGUGCAGGAAGAAGGCCUUAUGGGUCGUAAACUGCUUUUAUUUAGGAAUAAACCCCCGAACGUGUUCGGGGCUGAAGGUACUAAACGAAUAAGCACCGGCUAACUCCGGGCCAGCAGCCGCGGUAAUACGGAGGGUGCAAGCGUUAUCCGGAUUUAUUGGGUUUAAAGGGUGCGCAGGCGGGCUAUUAAGUCAGUGGUGAAAUCCCGGGGCUCAACUCCGGAACUGCCAUUGAUACUGAUAGUCUUGAGUUUGGUUGAAGUGGGCGGAAUGUAGCAUGUAGCGGUGAAAUGCAUAGAUAUGCUACAGAACACCAAUCGCGAAGGCAGCUCACUAAGCCAAAACUGACGCUCAUGCACGAAAGCGUGGGGAUCAAACAGGAUUAGAUACCCGAGUAGUC
This 459-nucleotide ribosomal RNA is filed under the name uncultured bacterium. RNAcentral's name for it is "partial 16S ribosomal RNA". It matches the Rfam family "Bacterial small subunit ribosomal RNA", at positions 339 to 795 of the family's 1533-position model. The record is from RNAcentral.